Molecule: ribosomal RNA, 492 nt
Filed under: uncultured bacterium
Lineage: Bacteria
Description: partial 16S ribosomal RNA
Rfam family: Bacterial small subunit ribosomal RNA
Source: RNAcentral
AGUGAACGCUGGCGGUAGGCCUAACACAUGCAAGUCGAACGGCAGCACAGUAAGAGCUUGCUCUUACGGGUGGCGAGUGGCGGACGAGUGAGGAAUACAUCGGAAUCUACUUUUUCGUGGGGGAUAACGUAGGGAAACUUACGCUAAUACCGCAUACGACCUACGGGUGAAAGCAGGGGAUCUUCGGACCUUGCGCGAUUGAAUGAGCCGAUGUCGGAUUAGCUAGUUGGCGGGGUAAAGGCCCACCAAGGCGACGAUCCGUAGCUGGUCUGAGAGGAUGAUCAGCCACACUGGAACUGAGACACGGUCCAGACUCCUACGGGAGGCAGCAGUGGGUAAUAUUGGACAAUGGGCGCAAGCCUGAUCCAGCCAUACCGCGUGGGUGAAGAAGGCCUUCGGGUUGUAAAGCCCUUUUGUUGGGAAAGAAAAGCAGCAGGUUAAUACCCCGCUGUUCUGACGGUACCCAAAGAAUAAGCACCGGCUAACUUCGUG